ACGCUCGACACCUACAGGAGGCAGCAGUCGGGAAUAUUGCGCAAUGGAGGAAACUCUGACGCAGUGACGCCGCGUGCAGGAGGAAGGUUUUCGGAUUGUAAACUGCUUUAGACAGGGAAGAAAGAAAUGACAGUACCUGUAGAAUAAGCUCCGGCUAACUACGUGCCAGCAGCCGNGGUAAUCNGAGCGGGCUGGCAAGGC
This 201-nucleotide ribosomal RNA is filed under the name uncultured bacterium. RNAcentral describes it as "partial 16S ribosomal RNA". It matches the Rfam family "Bacterial small subunit ribosomal RNA", at positions 328 to 539 of the family's 1533-position model. The record is from RNAcentral.